Molecule: long non-coding RNA, 362 nt
Filed under: Heterocephalus glaber (naked mole-rat)
Lineage: Eukaryota; Metazoa; Chordata; Mammalia; Rodentia; Bathyergidae
Description: lncRNA (ENSHGLG00100036341.1)
Source: RNAcentral
AUGUGGUCUUCCCGCCGUCACUGUCCGGCAGGGCGCUCCCUUCAUCCUGAGAUCGCGCUGCCCUGCCUUCUUGCGCAGCCUGCCCCUGGGUAGAGUCCUACACAGCGUGGGCAUCUCUGUUUCAACCACACUGCAUGCAGAGGGACACCAGGAUCAGAUGGAAUCACUAUGUUGUUCGACUGGUCUCCAGCCCCCGGGUUCAAGAGAUCCUCCAGCCUCAGUCUCCAAGUAGCUGGGACAACAGGCAUACUACCAUGCCCAGCUUGGAGUUGCAGAUUUUAAAGAAACAAGGAGAAAGGGAAUUGGGGAAGCAAAGCUAAGGACCGGGCAACUGGGGAAGAGAACACAAGGCAGAUGGCCAG